GCAAUGACUCCUGCACCACCAACUGCUUGGCUCCUCUGGCCAAAGUCAUCCAUGACCACUUCGGCAUCAUGAAGGGCCUCAUUACCACUGUCCAUGCCAUCAUUGCCACCUAGAAGACUGUGGAUGGCCCCUCUGGGAAGCUGUGGCAUGAUGGCCGAGGGCCUGCCCAGAACAUCAUCCCUGCUUCCAUUGGCACUGCCAAGGCUGUGGGCAGGUCAUCCCUGAGCUGAACAGGAAGCUCCUGGCCUUCCGUGUCUCCACCCACAACGUGUCAGUCUGACAUGCUGCCUGGAGAAAGCUGCCAUAUAUGACGACAUCAAGAAGGUGGUGAAGCAGGCAUCAGAGGGCCCCCUCAAGGGCAUCCUGGGCUACACUGAGGACCAGAUUGUCUCCUGUGAGUUCAACAGUAACACCCACUCUUCCACCUUCGACACCGGGGCUGGCAUUGCUCUCAAUGACCACUUUGUCAAACUCAUUUCCUGGUAUGACAAUGAAUUUGGCUACAGCAACCAGGUGGUGGACCUCAUGGUCCACAUGGCCUCCAAGGAGUAAGAGCCUCCUGGACCACCAGCCCCAGCAAGAACAAGAGGAAGUGAGAGGAGAUCCUACCAAUCAGACUCUGGGUAGUAUUUCACCUUAGUUCUUAACACCUUGGUUUCAGAUUCUCUUAUCCAGAUGUCAACUCAAGACCUGCUGCUUCUCCAAUCUUUCUAGAAAUCAUUUUGGAACCUAGAAGUAAAAGAAGGCCCUUGUCCACACUAGUAAGUACAUUUCAAAAUAUUGAAAAGGUUGUGGUAUCUAUAUUGAAAAUGACAAGGGGGACGCCUGGAUGGCUCAGCAGUUGAGCACCUGCCCCUGGCUCAGGGCAUGAUCUGCAGUCUCAGGAUGGAGUCCCACAUCAGGCUCCCUGCCUGGAGCCUGCUUCUCCCUCUGCCUAUGUCUCUGCCUUUCUCUCUGUGUCUUUCAUGAAUAAAUAAAUAGAAUCUUUUAAAAAAAUAAAAUGAAAUGAAAAUGACAGGGGUACUAACAUUAAUUAAAAUGUGUUUGAAAAAUGCUCCAAAUAUACAUUUUGAAAACAAGUGGAGUCACAGUAAACAAUGUAAAAUAUACAUCUGAAAGAAGAUUCAAAUAUUUAUUUGAAAACAAAGGAGAGGGGCACCUGAGUGGCUGAGUUGGUUAAGG
RNAcentral lists this long non-coding RNA (1182 nucleotides) under Canis lupus familiaris (dog). RNAcentral's name for it is "lncRNA (ENSCAFG00845023229.1)". The record is from RNAcentral. Lineage: Eukaryota; Metazoa; Chordata; Mammalia; Carnivora; Canidae.